UGACCGCUGGCGGCGUGCCUACUACAUGCAAGUCGAGCGAACAGAUGAGGAGCUUGCUCCUCUGACGUUAGCGGCGGACGGGUGAGUAACACGUGGAUAACCUACCUAUAAGACUGGGAUAACUUCGGGAAACCGGAGCUAAUACCGGAUAAUAUAUUGAACCGCAUGGUUCAAUAGUGAAAGACGGUUUUGCUGUCACUUAUAGAUGGAUCCGCGCCGCAUUAGCUAGUUGGUAAGGUAACGGCUUACCAAGGCAACGAUGCGUAGCCGACCUGAGAGGGUGAUCGGCCACACUGGAACUGAGACACGGUCCAGACUCCUACGGGAGGCAGCAGUAGGGAAUCUUCCGCAAUGGGCGAAAGCCUGACGGAGCAACGCCGCGUGAGUGAUGAAGGUCUUCGGAUCGUAAAACUCUGUUAUUAGGGAAGAACAAAUGUGUAAGUAACUAUGCACGUCUUGACGGUACCUAAUCAGAAAGCCACGGCUAACUACGUG
RNAcentral lists this ribosomal RNA (495 nucleotides) under uncultured bacterium. RNAcentral's name for it is "partial 16S ribosomal RNA". It matches the Rfam family "Bacterial small subunit ribosomal RNA", at positions 30 to 507 of the family's 1533-position model. The record is from RNAcentral.